RNAcentral lists this ribosomal RNA (513 nucleotides) under uncultured Flavobacteriaceae bacterium. Its description in RNAcentral is "bacterial SSU rRNA". It matches the Rfam family "Bacterial small subunit ribosomal RNA", at positions 533 to 1050 of the family's 1533-position model. Lineage: Bacteria; Pseudomonadati; Bacteroidota; Flavobacteriia; Flavobacteriales; Flavobacteriaceae. The record is from RNAcentral.
UCCAAGCGUUAUCCGGAAUCAUUGGGUUUAAAGGGUCCGUAGGUGGAUAAUUAAGUCAGAGGUGAAAUCCUGCAGCUCAACUGUAGAAUUGCCUUUGAUACUGGUUAUCUUGAGUUACUAUGAAGUAGUUAGAAUAUGUAGUGUAGCGGUGAAAUGCAUAGAUAUUACAUAGAAUACCAAUUGCGAAGGCAGAUUACUAAUAGUACACUGACACUGAUGGACGAAAGCGUGGGUAGCGAACGGGAUUAGAUACCCCGGUAGUCCACGCCGUAAACGAUGGUCACUAGCUGUUCGGACUUUUUGUCUGAGUGGCUAAGCGAAAGUGAUAAGUGACCCACCUGGGGAGUACGUUCGCAAGAAUGAAACUCAAAGGAAUUGACGGGGGCCCGCACAAGCGGUGGAGCAUGUGGUUUAAUUCGAUGAUACGCGAGGAACCUUACCAGGGCUUAAAUGUAAGUUGCAUAAGUUAGAGAUAGCUUUUUCUUCGGACUACUUACAAGGUGCUGCAUGGUU